RNAcentral lists this ribosomal RNA (540 nucleotides) under Shigella boydii. RNAcentral describes it as "partial 23S ribosomal RNA". It matches the Rfam family "Bacterial large subunit ribosomal RNA", at positions 2409 to 2925 of the family's 2925-position model. Lineage: Bacteria; Pseudomonadati; Pseudomonadota; Gammaproteobacteria; Enterobacterales; Enterobacteriaceae. The record is from RNAcentral.
GUCAUAGUGAUCCGGUGGUUCUGAAUGGAAGGGCCAUCGCUCAACGGAUAAAAGGUACUCCGGGGAUAACAGGCUGAUACCGCCCAAGAGUUCAUAUCGACGGCGGUGUUUGGCACCUCGAUGUCGGCUCAUCACAUCCUGGGGCUGAAGUAGGUCCCAAGGGUAUGGCUGUUCGCCAUUUAAAGUGGUACGCGAGCUGGGUUUAGAACGUCGUGAGACAGUUCGGUCCCUAUCUGCCGUGGGCGCUGGAGAACUGAGGGGGGCUGCUCCUAGUACGAGAGGACCGGAGUGGACGCAUCACUGGUGUUCGGGUUGUCAUGCCAAUGGCACUGCCCGGUAGCUAAAUGCGGAAGAGAUAAGUGCUGAAAGCAUCUAAGCACGAAACUUGCCCCGAGAUGAGUUCUCCCUGACUCCUUGAGAGUCCUGAAGGAACGUUGAAGACGACGACGUUGAUAGGCCGGGUGUGUAAGCGCAGCGAUGCGUUGAGCUAACCGGUACUAAUGAACCGUGAGGCUUAACCUUACAACGCCGAAGGUGUUU